GACGAACGCUGGCGGCGUGCUUAACACAUGCAAGUCGAACGGAAAGGCCCUGCUUUCAGGGUACUCGAGUGGCGAACGGGUGAGUAACACGUGGGUGAUCUGCCCUGCACUUCGGGAUAAGCCUGGUAAACUGGGUCUAAUACCUGAUAGGAGCCAUUUUUAUUGUGAUGGUUGGAAAGUUUUUUCGGUGUAGGAUGAGCUCGCUGCCUAUCUGCUUGUUGGUGGGGUAAUGGCCUACCAAGGCGGCGACGGGUAGCCGGCCUGAGAGGGUGGACGGCCACAUUGGGACUGAGAUAAGGCCCAGACUCCUAAGGGAGGCAGCAGUGGGGAAUAUUGCACAAUGGGCGCAAGCCUGAUGCAGAGACGCCGCGGGGGGGAAGACGGGCUUCGGGUUGUAAACUCCUUUCGCUAGGGACGAAGCUUUUUGUGACGGUACCUAGAUAAGAAGCACCGGCUAACUACGUG
Molecule: ribosomal RNA, 465 nt
Filed under: uncultured bacterium
Lineage: Bacteria
Description: partial 16S ribosomal RNA
Rfam family: Bacterial small subunit ribosomal RNA
Source: RNAcentral